UGCUUGUUUAGCUCAGUUGGCAGAGCACAUCACUAGUAAUGAUGAGGUCGCUGGUUCGAGACUGGCAACAAGCAU
This 75-nucleotide transfer RNA is filed under the name Pediococcus damnosus. RNAcentral describes it as "tRNA-Thr". It matches the Rfam family "tRNA". Rfam says of the family: Transfer RNA (tRNA) molecules are approximately 80 nucleotides in length. Lineage: Bacteria; Bacillati; Bacillota; Bacilli; Lactobacillales; Lactobacillaceae. The record is from RNAcentral.